UGCAUAUCCAAAAAGCGGAGGAAAAGAAACCAACAGGGAUUGCCCCAGUAGCGGCGAGUGAAGCGGCAAGAGCUCAGAUUUGAAAUCGUGUUUCGGCACGAGUUGUAGAGUGUAGGCGGGAGUCUCUGUGGAGCGCGGUGUCCAAGUCCCUUGGAACAGGGUGCCUGAGAGGGUGAGAGCCCCGUAGGGUGCUGCGCGAAGCUUUUGAGGCCCUGCUGACGAGUCGAGUUGUUUGGGAAUGCAGCUCCAAGCGGGUGGUAAAUUCCAUCUAAGGCUAAAUAUUGGCGAGAGACCGAUAGCGAACAAGUACUGUGAAGGAAAGAUGAAAAGCACUUUGAAAAGAGAGUGAAACAGCACGUGAAAUUGUUGAAAGGGAAGGGUAUUGGGCUCGACAUGGGGGGUGCGCACCGCUGUCUCUUGUAGGCGGCGCUCUGGGCGCCCUCUGGGCCAGCAUCGGUUCCUGCUGCGGGAGAAGGGGCUCCGGAAAGUGGCUCUUCGGAGUGUUAUAGCCGGGGCCAGAUGCCGCGUGUGGGGACCGAGGACUGCGGCUUCUGUCUCGGAUGCUGGCAUAACGGCGCAAUACCGCCCGUCUUGA
Molecule: ribosomal RNA, 595 nt
Filed under: Pichia manshurica
Lineage: Eukaryota; Fungi; Ascomycota; Pichiomycetes; Pichiales; Pichiaceae
Description: partial large subunit ribosomal RNA
Rfam family: Eukaryotic large subunit ribosomal RNA
Source: RNAcentral